Choloepus didactylus (southern two-toed sloth) is the source of this 2201-nucleotide long non-coding RNA. RefSeq lists it as uncharacterized. Lineage: Eukaryota; Metazoa; Chordata; Mammalia; Pilosa; Megalonychidae. The transcript is spliced from 3 exons. The record is from RefSeq and is a predicted model, not a curated record.
CUAAUCGAGUUUUCAUGCUCAGGACUGGCUGAAUUUGCGCGCCUGCCAGAAAGCAGCAGGAGACGGAGACUUCUGUGAGAAAUGAAGAGGAUGGUAGCCUUCAAACACCCCACACUCAACCAUUUUAAGUAAAUUACUUGCAGUUUUCCAAAGUUACCAAGCUUCCUCCUGUAUUACUGUUGCACAUUGUGAAAAACUUGUACCAGACAAUUUGAAACAGGUCCUAACUGAAGUGCCCACGCUGAGACAACAUUAAAUCCUUUGACCACCAAGGAAUCUGGGAAUAAUGAAGCUAAAUAUUCAGCAUUGGAUUCUGGGUAUUGGUUUAUCUUCAUGUUAUUGCUAACGUCAAUCAGAAUUUUACCUACAAGCAGAUGUCUCAGGUCCCACAGGGAGGUGUAAUGUUCUCUAUGUAUAGCAACAAAUAUUAUAUUUGUUUUUGUUAGCGCAUCUUCAUGAUGAGUGACAUCUACCACAUGAGGAAAAAAUUCAGAAGCAAACUUAGGAUUUCUGCUUCCUAUGACCACAUGAUAGCCACAUCUAAUAAGUCGGAUAGUCAAGGACUUGGCAAAAUCCCCACUUCCAAUUACACCUACAGUGACCUUCCUUGCAUCUUUGAUACCAUUUAUGCCAUUAGGCAAAAAAGUUUCACUAAGGCUCUUAGGGCUUCCCAUCAUAGAGAUCGAUUCCAUGAUCCAGACUCUUCCAAGAUCACCAGUGGGGUCCUAGGGGAGAGAAAAUUAAAUGUUCAUCAAUUAUCUAUUACCAAAUAUCGUUAACACUUUCAGACUUUAUAAUAAUGUCCCUCAUUUCUAGAUGUAAAAUAAUUUGGCAAGAUAUAUAAAAUGGAACAAUGCAAGACACAAUUUGUAAGCUACAAUGGAUCUCUAAAUGGAAAAAUUAACUGUCACAAAGGCUCAAGGGGGCUUCUCAAACUUUAACAUGCACAGGAAUCACCUGAGAAUCUUGUUAAAAAUGCAGAUUCUGAUUCAGCAGUUCUCGAGUGAGCCCAAGAUUCCUCAUUUCUAACAAACCCCUGGGUUAUGCUGCUGCUGCUGGUCUGUGGAUCCCUCUUUGAACAGCAAAGCACUAGAUUACAAAAGGAAAAAUUGAAGUUUUCACCCAGAACUUUUUAAAACACAGUUCUAACAAGUCUGAUUACCAAGCUGCUCAGCAGAUCCAAGGAAGCAAAUCAGAAAAUAUGACCAUGAGCCAAUGUGAUAGCUCACAAGACAAUAGAAGACAGAAAUUCUAUUUAAACUAAAACAUUCUAGAGUCAUUUGUCGUAGAAGUAAACUGUCUUAUGUACUUCAGUAGCUGAUAAUUUUAAAAUUAUGUAAGAGUAAGGUAAAUCAGAUAAUAAAAAAAUGAACCCCUGGCCCUUCAAAAGAAAAAUAAUAUUUUAAGAAAAAUAGGCAUCAAAUAUACCAAAGGAUUAAUUAAAUAUCACAGACUUCUAUCAUUCACCCUCCAUACUAUGACUUAUUGACAAAGAUGGCUUUCCCAUGGAAUAGAGGGAUAAUAAUGAAUUUAUGGUCUUAAAUACACAGUACUUAAUGAAAUUUUUCUCCCCCCUUUACUCACUGGCUGCAAAGAGUAUAAUGAUGUUAUUCUUCCUGGAAAGAAAUAUGUCAAGUUCUUUUCUCUUAAAGUGACUAACGUCUGAAAUUCUCAUAUUUGUAAUAAUUUUCCAUGAAUCAGUCUGGCUGAUGGAUCUGAAUGAAAAUCACUCUUCUAUUCCACCCUCAUUCACAGUUUCUUUUACGCUAACAGCAGAUGUGAAUCACUUUAGAGGAUUUAAAGAAUUUUACAGGUGCUGGUUGAGUAUUUCAAAAAACAUGUUUGGGCAUUUUUACUAAAUGAAAUAUGAAAAUACUAGAGCCAAGAAAAUUUGACUUCUUUACCCUAGAAAUGGGUCACAUUCAAUGAUUCACUAAAACAUUAGUAAAUUAAUCUUUAGGAAGAUACUAAUAGUAGUACUAAUAGCUAGUAUUUACAUAGCACAUACUAUGUGCCAGUUCGGUUCUGUGCUUUAUAUAUUAUCAAUUGAUUGAAUCCCCACAACACACCUAUGACAUAGGUGCUAAUAUUAUCAUCCCUAUUUUACAGAUGAGGAAACAGACAUGCACAAGAUAAUUAACUUGCCUAGUGUCCUAGGAGAGAGAAAGUGGGGGAGCCAGCAUUAGAAUCUGGGCAGUCAU